This 104-nucleotide ribosomal RNA is filed under the name uncultured bacterium. Its description in RNAcentral is "partial 16S ribosomal RNA". It matches the Rfam family "Bacterial small subunit ribosomal RNA", at positions 1379 to 1482 of the family's 1533-position model. The record is from RNAcentral.
CCUUGUACACACCGCCCGUCACAUCAUGAAAGCCGGUUGUACCCGAAGUCGCUGUGUUAACCGAAAGGAAACAGGUUCCGAAGGUAUGGCUGGUGAUUGGGAUG